GGUGCUGUGGCUUAGUUGGUCAAAGCGCCUCUCUUAUAAACAGGAGAUUCUGGGUUCAAAUCCUAGCAGUGCGU
Danio rerio (zebrafish) is the source of this 74-nucleotide non-coding RNA. The record is from Rfam. NCBI's taxonomy places the organism in Eukaryota, Metazoa, Chordata, Actinopteri, Cypriniformes, Danionidae.